This 163-nucleotide ribosomal RNA is filed under the name Doellingeria infirma. RNAcentral describes it as "5.8S ribosomal RNA". It matches the Rfam family "5.8S ribosomal RNA". From Rfam's summary of the family: 5.8S ribosomal RNA (5.8S rRNA) is a component of the large subunit of the eukaryotic ribosome. Lineage: Eukaryota; Viridiplantae; Streptophyta; Magnoliopsida; Asterales; Asteraceae. The record is from RNAcentral.
UCUCGGCAACGGAUAUCUCGGCUCACGCAUCGAUGAAGAACGUAGCAAAAUGCGAUACUUGGUGUGAAUUGCAGAAUCCCGUGAACCAUCGAGUUUUUGAACGCAAGUUGCGCCCGAAGCCAUUCGGCCGAGGGCACGUCUGCCUGGGCGUCACGCAUCGCGU